This 335-nucleotide ribosomal RNA is filed under the name uncultured bacterium. Its description in RNAcentral is "bacterial SSU rRNA". It matches the Rfam family "Bacterial small subunit ribosomal RNA", at positions 335 to 672 of the family's 1533-position model. The record is from RNAcentral.
ACUCCUACGGGAGGCAGCAGUAAGGAAUAUUGCGCAAUGGACGAAAGUCUGACGCAGCGACGCCGCGUGGGGGAUGAAGGUCUUCGGAUUGUAAACCCCUUUCGGGAGGGAAGAUGGAGUGGGUAACCACUUGGACGGUACCUCCAGAAGCAGCCACGGCUAACUUCGUGCCGGCAGCCGCGGUAAUACGAAGGUGGCAAGCGUUGUUCGGAUUCACUGGGCGUACAGGGAGCGUAGGCGGUUGGGUAAGCCCUCCGUGAAAUCUCCGGGCCUAACCCGGAAAGUGCAGAGGGGACUGCUCAGCUAGAGGAUGGGAGAGGAGCGCGGAAUUCCCG